CUCCCUUUAAAGCCCUCUGCUGCCUCCACCGGCCAAUUUCCGUCAGUCACAAUGUUGGAGGAUGAAAUCCAUCUCCCUCGGCUCCGAUCCGAACCUCAAGAGGAUCAGAUCUGCUGCGAUUGUGCUGGUGAAUUGCGUACAGCUUCAACACCUUUUGGGCUUGAACAAAUCUUCUUCAAAAGCUCAGAAGCAAUGAAAUACGCCUCCUCUUUGUUUCUGAAGAAAAGUUGUAAAACAUUUACCAAUGGAGUCGAAGACAAAGCAUAACUUAUAGUUGAGCAACUUCACGGACAAACCUUAGAAACUCGCACAGAACUGUUUCCAAAGAUCCACGACUACCAACCAGCACCUCAGCCAAAUGCGAAUACCGGGCUAGGUUUCUUAGAGUGGACAGUGCAUGUUUCAGAACCUCUUGAUCAGAUCAGAAAGUGCAGCCACAAGUCUGUUUAUAAUACGCAUGCCGUCAUCUACAUUUGCAGCAGUUUUUUUCACCCUCAAGCGUAAAUCAAUCAGCUGCUUCCCCCUUGAAUCCUUUCGUGCAAGUAAAACACCCCUCCACCACCUUUGCAACUUCAAAACUGAGCAAAGAAAUAUACCCCAUUCAAGACUAUGGAACCAAGUUCUUGAAGUCGAAGGGCAUUCCAUUGGAACACCCUUGUACAGGCAAGAAGCCCCUGUAUCACCACAAUGUCACAUAUGAGUUCACUUACAAAUACUGAAAUAUUAAUCCAAAAAGGGCUGUGGAAUUGAAUUGGCACUGCGAAUGAAUGAUACCUAAAAGCCUCCUUCGAACAA
Rhododendron vialii is the source of this 795-nucleotide long non-coding RNA. RefSeq lists it as uncharacterized. Lineage: Eukaryota; Viridiplantae; Streptophyta; Magnoliopsida; Ericales; Ericaceae. The transcript has 4 exons. The record is from RefSeq and is a predicted model, not a curated record.